AAUGAACGCUGGCGGCGUGCUUAACACAUGCAAGUCGAGCGAGAAAGGUCUUCGGACUGAGUAAAGCGGCGAACGGGUGAGUAACGCGUGGGAAUCUACCUUUUGAUGGAGAAUACCCUCGAGAAAUCGAGGUUAAUACUGCAUAAGUCUCUUCGGAGAGAAAGAUGGCUUUCGGGCUGUCGUCGAAAGAUGAGCCUGCGUACUAUUAGCUAGUUGGUGGGGUAAUGGCCUACCAAGGCGAUGAUGGUUAACCGGCCUGAGAGGGUGUACGGUCACACUGGAACUUAGACACGGUCCAGACUCCUACGGGAGGCUG
Molecule: ribosomal RNA, 316 nt
Filed under: uncultured bacterium
Lineage: Bacteria
Description: bacterial SSU rRNA
Rfam family: Bacterial small subunit ribosomal RNA
Source: RNAcentral